GUCUACUCGCCCUCACCUGGGCCCAUCCUCUCCGAUCCUUCCCUGCUGGAAGGAAAAAAGAAAUAGGAAAGAAAAAAAACCCUAGAUCCCCAAAUCUAUUUUUAACCCUAACAAGCAUCAAAAUCAAAAUUACAUACUCAAGAUUUUAUACUAGUAAUCAUAGUAAUGGCACAAGAUUCUGAAGUGGAACCUGCAUCAGAAACCGUAGAUCAAUCUC
RNAcentral lists this unclassified non-coding RNA (217 nucleotides) under Hevea brasiliensis (rubber tree). The record is from RNAcentral. Lineage: Eukaryota; Viridiplantae; Streptophyta; Magnoliopsida; Malpighiales; Euphorbiaceae.